AGGACGAACGCUGGCGGCGUGCUUAACACAUGCAAGUCGAGCGGUGAUCCUCCUUCGGGGGGUGAUCAGCGGCGAACGGGUGAGUAACACGUGGGCAACCUGCCCCUCACACUGGGAUAACCUCGGGAAACCGGGGCUAAUACCGGAUACGACCUCGAGCGGCAUCUCUUGAGGUGGAAAGCUCCGACGGUGAGGGAUGGGCCCGCGGCCUAUCAGCUUGUUGGUGGGGUAAUGGCCUACCAAGGCGACGACGGGUA
This 257-nucleotide ribosomal RNA is filed under the name uncultured bacterium. RNAcentral describes it as "partial small subunit ribosomal RNA". It matches the Rfam family "Bacterial small subunit ribosomal RNA", at positions 26 to 285 of the family's 1533-position model. The record is from RNAcentral.